UGGUGGGUAGUUUGACUGGGGCGGUCUCCUCCUAAAGAGUAACGGAGGAGCACGAAGGUUGGCUAAUCCUGGUCGGACAUCAGGAGGUUAGUGCAAUGGCAUAAGCCAGCUUGACUGCGAGCGUGACGGCGCGAGCAGGUGCGAAAGCAGGUCAUAGUGAUCCGGUGGUUCUGAAUGGAAGGGCCAUCGCUCAACGGAUAAAAGGUACUCCGGGGAUAACAGGCUGAUACCGCCCAAGAGUUCAUAUCGACGGCGGUGUUUGGCACCUCGAUGUCGGCUCAUCACAUCCUGGGGCUGAAGUAGGUCCCAAGGGUAUGGCUGUUCGCCAUUUAAAGUGGUACGCGAGCUGGGUUUAGAACGUCGUGAGACAGUUCGGUCCCUAUCUG
RNAcentral lists this ribosomal RNA (386 nucleotides) under Escherichia coli. Its description in RNAcentral is "partial 23S ribosomal RNA". It matches the Rfam family "Bacterial large subunit ribosomal RNA", at positions 2259 to 2644 of the family's 2925-position model. The record is from RNAcentral. RNAcentral also lists the same sequence under 1 other name. Lineage: Bacteria; Pseudomonadati; Pseudomonadota; Gammaproteobacteria; Enterobacterales; Enterobacteriaceae.